Molecule: ribosomal RNA, 771 nt
Filed under: bacterium
Lineage: Bacteria
Description: bacterial SSU rRNA
Rfam family: Bacterial small subunit ribosomal RNA
Source: RNAcentral
GGCCCUUCGGGGUACUCGAGCGGCGAACGGGUGAGUAACACGUGAGUAAUCUGCCCCAGGCUCUGGGAUAGCCACCGGAAACGGUGAUUAAUACCGGAUACGACAACUUCCUGCAUGGGAUGGUUGUGGAAAGUUUUUCGGCCUGGGAUGUGCUCGCGGCCUAUCAGCUUGUUGGUGAGGUAAUGGCUCACCAAGGCUUCGACGGGUAGCCGGCCUGAGAGGGUGACCGGCCACACUGGGACUGAGACACGGCCCAGACUCCUACGGGAGGCAGCAGUGGGGAAUAUUGGACAAUGGGCGGAAGCCUGAUCCAGCAACGCCGCGUGAGGGAUGACGGCCUUCGGGUUGUAAACCUCUUUCAGCACAGACGAAGCGCAAGUGACGGUAUGUGCAGAAGAAGGACCGGCCAACUACGUGCCAGCAGCCGCGGUAAUACGUAGGGUCCGAGCGUUGUCCGGAAUUAUUGGGCGUAAAGGGCUCGUAGGCGGUCUGUCGCGUCGGGAGUGAAAACCAGGUGCUUAACACCUGGCCUGCUUCCGAUACGGGCAGACUAGAGGUACUCAGGGGAGAAUGGAAUUCCUGGUGUAGCGGUGAAAUGCGCAGAUAUCAGGAGGAACACCGGUGGCGAAGGCGGUUCUCUGGGAGUAUCCUGACGCUGAGGAGCGAAAGUGUGGGGAGCGAACAGGAUUAGAUACCCUGGUAGUCCACACCGUAAACGUUGGGCGCUAGGUGUGGGACACAUUCCACGUGUUCCGUGCCGCAGCUAACGCA